This 22-nucleotide microRNA is filed under the name Picea abies (Norway spruce). RNAcentral's name for it is "pab-miR950c". Its record names the gene pab-miR950b. Lineage: Eukaryota; Viridiplantae; Streptophyta; Pinopsida; Pinales; Pinaceae. The record is from miRBase by way of RNAcentral.
UCACGUCAGGGCCACGAUGGUU